This 74-nucleotide transfer RNA is filed under the name Bacillota bacterium. Its description in RNAcentral is "tRNA-Thr". It matches the Rfam family "tRNA". From Rfam's summary of the family: Transfer RNA (tRNA) molecules are approximately 80 nucleotides in length. Their secondary structure includes four short double-helical elements and three loops (D, anti-codon, and T loops). Further hydrogen bonds mediate the characteristic L-shaped molecular structure. tRNAs have two regions of fundamental functional importance: the anti-codon, which is responsible for specific mRNA codon recognition, and the 3' end, to which the tRNAs corresponding amino acid is attached (by aminoacyl-tRNA synthetases). tRNAs cope with the degeneracy of the genetic code in two manners: having more than one tRNA (with a specific anti-codon) for a particular amino acid; and 'wobble' base-pairing, i.e. permitting non-standard base-pairing at the 3rd anti-codon position. The record is from RNAcentral. Lineage: Bacteria; Bacillati; Bacillota.
GCCCCCUUAGUUCAGCGGCAGAACGGGACAAUGGUAAUGUCCAGAUGGUGGUUCAAUUCCGCCAGGGGGCACCA